This 259-nucleotide ribosomal RNA is filed under the name uncultured bacterium. RNAcentral's name for it is "partial 16S ribosomal RNA". It matches the Rfam family "Bacterial small subunit ribosomal RNA", at positions 524 to 776 of the family's 1533-position model. The record is from RNAcentral.
GACGAACCGUGCGAACGUUGUUCGGAUUCACUGGGCUUAAAGGGCGCGUAGGCGGGCUCGCCAGUCUGUGGUGAAAGCCCCCCGGCUUAACCGGGGGAAGUGCCGUGGAUACUGCGAGUCUUUGAGGAGGGGUAGGGGGCAUCUGGAACGCUGGGGUGGAGCGGUGAAAUGCGUUGAUAUCCAGCGGAACUCCGGUGGCGAAGGCGAGGUGCUGGACCCUUUCUGACGCUGAGGCGCGAAAGCCAGGGGAGCAAACGGG